UUCAACUGGGAUUUUUUACAAAGGCACCGAGCAACUAGAAAUAUUCAGUUUCGAUUAGUCUCGAAACAUGGAGAAUUUACCUCAAUGAACGAUAAUUUCUUUCCAGGUUAAAAUGGAAAGCCAAUUCUUUUUGGAACAGAUCAUUAUGGGGAAAAGCAGACCAUAGAGAAAACAGCUGAAAACGGGCGAGUUGCAGAGUUCAGUGGGACGGCAAAUGACAAGGAAACUAGCUACAUUCUGAUAAAAGUCAUCAUUUUUGCACGGCACUGUUUCAAACGUAUAUUCAUUAAACCUUUGACAGAUUUCA
Molecule: long non-coding RNA, 307 nt
Organism: Pocillopora damicornis (cauliflower coral)
Lineage: Eukaryota; Metazoa; Cnidaria; Anthozoa; Scleractinia; Pocilloporidae
Source: RefSeq, a predicted model, not a curated record